GGGGGAACAUCGAGUCUUUGAACGCAAGUUGCGCCCGAUGCCAUUAGGUUGAGGGCACGUCUGCCUGGGUGUCACAUAUCGAAGCCUCCUGCCAAUUUCUCUUUGAUUAUUGUGCAGGGUGGAUGUUGGCCUCCCGUGAGCUCUUUCGUCUCAUGGUUGGUUGAAAAUUGAGACCUUGGUAGGGUGUGCCAUGAUAGAUGGUGGUUGUGUGAUCCACGAGACCAAUCAUGUGCUGCUCUAUUAAAUAUGGCCUCUUUUACCCAUAUGCGUUUCUAAACGCUCGUGAUGAGACCUCAGGUCAGGCGGGGCUACCCGCUGAAUUUAAGCAUAUCAAUAAGCGGAGGAAAAGAAACUAACAAGGAUUCCCUUAGUAACGGCGAGCGAACCGGGAUAAGCCCACCAUGAGAAUCGGUCGCCCUCGGCGUUCGAAUUGUAGUUGAAAAAAAACCGUCAAAAAAU
RNAcentral lists this ribosomal RNA (459 nucleotides) under Vicia sativa subsp. nigra (narrow-leaved vetch). RNAcentral's name for it is "eukaryotic LSU rRNA". The stretch from base 289 to 459 matches the Rfam family "Eukaryotic large subunit ribosomal RNA", at positions 1 to 171 of the family's 3401-position model. The record is from RNAcentral. Lineage: Eukaryota; Viridiplantae; Streptophyta; Magnoliopsida; Fabales; Fabaceae.